CAGGUGAUCAACGAGCUUGGUGUGCCUGGGACUGAGGAGUUUCCUGCAUUGUGAGACUUUCAGUGUUACAGCAAG
RNAcentral lists this microRNA precursor (75 nucleotides) under Tursiops truncatus (common bottlenose dolphin). RNAcentral describes it as "miRNA (ENSTTRG00000025336.1)". Lineage: Eukaryota; Metazoa; Chordata; Mammalia; Artiodactyla; Delphinidae. The record is from RNAcentral.